This 1520-nucleotide ribosomal RNA is filed under the name Enterobacter sp. 302C9. RNAcentral describes it as "bacterial SSU rRNA". It matches the Rfam family "Bacterial small subunit ribosomal RNA". The record is from RNAcentral. Lineage: Bacteria; Pseudomonadati; Pseudomonadota; Gammaproteobacteria; Enterobacterales; Enterobacteriaceae.
AGAGUUUGAUCAUGGCUCAGAUUGAACGCUGGCGGCAGGCCUAACACAUGCAAGUCGAGCGGUAGCACAGAGAGCUUGCUCUCGGGUGACGAGCGGCGGACGGGUGAGUAAUGUCUGGGAAACUGCCUGAUGGAGGGGGAUAACUACUGGAAACGGUAGCUAAUACCGCAUAACGUCGCAAGACCAAAGAGGGGGACCUUCGGGCCUCUUGCCAUCAGAUGUGCCCAGAUGGGAUUAGCUAGUAGGUGGGGUAACGGCUCACCUAGGCGACGAUCCCUAGCUGGUCUGAGAGGAUGACCAGCCACACUGGAACUGAGACACGGUCCAGACUCCUACGGGAGGCAGCAGUGGGGAAUAUUGCACAAUGGGCGCAAGCCUGAUGCAGCCAUGCCGCGUGUAUGAAGAAGGCCUUCGGGUUGUAAAGUACUUUCAGCGGGGAGGAAGGCGAUAAGGUUAAUAACCUUGUCGAUUGACGUUACCCGCAGAAGAAGCACCGGCUAACUCCGUGCCAGCAGCCGCGGUAAUACGGAGGGUGCAAGCGUUAAUCGGAAUUACUGGGCGUAAAGCGCACGCAGGCGGUCUGUCAAGUCGGAUGUGAAAUCCCCGGGCUCAACCUGGGAACUGCAUUCGAAACUGGCAGGCUAGAGUCUUGUAGAGGGGGGUAGAAUUCCAGGUGUAGCGGUGAAAUGCGUAGAGAUCUGGAGGAAUACCGGUGGCGAAGGCGGCCCCCUGGACAAAGACUGACGCUCAGGUGCGAAAGCGUGGGGAGCAAACAGGAUUAGAUACCCUGGUAGUCCACGCCGUAAACGAUGUCGACUUGGAGGUUGUGCCCUUGAGGCGUGGCUUCCGGAGCUAACGCGUUAAGUCGACCGCCUGGGGAGUACGGCCGCAAGGUUAAAACUCAAAUGAAUUGACGGGGGCCCGCACAAGCGGUGGAGCAUGUGGUUUAAUUCGAUGCAACGCGAAGAACCUUACCUACUCUUGACAUCCAGAGAACUUAGCAGAGAUGCUUUGGUGCCUUCGGGAACUCUGAGACAGGUGCUGCAUGGCUGUCGUCAGCUCGUGUUGUGAAAUGUUGGGUUAAGUCCCGCAACGAGCGCAACCCUUAUCCUUUGUUGCCAGCGGUUAGGCCGGGAACUCAAAGGAGACUGCCAGUGAUAAACUGGAGGAAGGUGGGGAUGACGUCAAGUCAUCAUGGCCCUUACGAGUAGGGCUACACACGUGCUACAAUGGCGCAUACAAAGAGAAGCGACCUCGCGAGAGCAAGCGGACCUCAUAAAGUGCGUCGUAGUCCGGAUUGGAGUCUGCAACUCGACUCCAUGAAGUCGGAAUCGCUAGUAAUCGUAGAUCAGAAUGCUACGGUGAAUACGUUCCCGGGCCUUGUACACACCGCCCGUCACACCAUGGGAGUGGGUUGCAAAAGAAGUAGGUAGCUUAACCUUCGGGAGGGCGCUUACCACUUUGUGAUUCAUGACUGGGGUGAAGUCGUAACAAGGUAACCGUAGGGGAACCUGCGGUUG